This 1880-nucleotide ribosomal RNA is filed under the name human gut metagenome. RNAcentral describes it as "bacterial LSU rRNA". It matches the Rfam family "Bacterial large subunit ribosomal RNA", at positions 3 to 1980 of the family's 2925-position model. The record is from RNAcentral.
UCAAGCUAGAAAGAGCGCAGGGCGAAUGCCUUGGCAUUGGGAGCCGAUGAAGGACGUGGUAAGCUGCGAAAAGCUGCGGGGAAUUGCAAGCAAGUAUUGAUCCGCAGAUGUCCGAAUGGAGCAAUCCGCUGUAUAGAAGAUACAGCAUCAUAUACUGAAUCAAAUAGGUAUAUGAGGGGAACCGCCUGAACUGAAACAUCUAAGUAGGGCGAGGAAGAGACAUCAAACGAGAUUCCGUAAGUAGUGGCGAGCGAACGCGGAAGAGGGCAAACCGGGAGUCGAAAGACUUCCGGGGUACGGAGCGCAUUUAAGACUCAAGUUGUUAACCGAACGGCAUGGGAAGGCCGGUCAGAGAGUGUGAGAACCACGUAGGUGAAAACGGAGAGAGCUGCGCAGGAUCCAGAGUACGGCCAGACACGUGAAACCUGGUCGGAAUACGGGGGGACCACCCUCCAACCCUAAAUACUACCCAGUGACCGAUAGCGUAUAGUACUGUGAAGGAAAGGUGAAAAGCACCCCGGGAGGGGAGUGAAAAAGAACCUGAAACCCUGUGCCUACAAGCACCUAGAGCGCGUCAAAGCGUGAUAGGGUACUUUUUGUAGAACGGUCCGGCGAGCGAUUGUAUGCAGCAAGGUUAAGGACUUAAGGUCUGGAGCCGAAGCGAAAGCGAGUUUGAAAAGGGCGUUAAGUUGCAUAUAAUGGGCCCGAAACCGGGUGACCUACCCAUGGUCAGGUUGAAGUGGAAGUAAAAUUCCAUGGAGGACCGAACCGACCUCCGUUGAAAAGGCGGCGGAUGAACUGUGGGUAGCGGAGAAAUUCCAAUCGAACCCGGAGAUAGCUGGUUCUCCCCGAAAUAGUUUUAGGACUAGCCUCAAGUUAGAUACCUGGAGGUAAAGCACUGAAUAGCCUAGCGGCCGAGAGGUUAGCGAAGCUUAUCAAACUCAGAAUGCCAGAGUAUUGAUGCUUGGGAGUCAGACAGUGUCAGAUAAAUGUCAUUGUCAAAAGGGAAACAGCCCAGAUCUACAGCUAAGGUCCCAAAGUCAGGUUAAGUGGAAAACGAUGUGAAGAUACGCAGACAACCAGGAUGUUGGCUCAGAAGCAGCCACUCAUUCAAAGAGUGCGUAAUAGCUCACUGGUCGAGCGUCUUUGCGCGGAGAAUUUAACGGGGCUAAACCUGACACCGAAGCUUAGGCAAUGUAGUAAUACAUUGGGUAGGGGAGCGUUGUAUACGCGGUGAAACAGUAGCGCAAGCGGCUGUGGAGUGUAUAGAAGUGAGAAUGCCGGAAUGAGUAGCGCGAAUGCAGUGAGAAUCUGCAUGGCCGAAAGCCUCAGGUUUCUGGAGGAAGGUUCGUCCGCUCCAGGUUAGUCGGGAGCUAAGGUGAGGCCUAACGGCGUAGCCGAUGCACAGACGGUAGAGAUUCCGUCACCACCAAAAGAGUUAAACACAGGGACACAUUUGAAGUCUCGGAGCCGGGUGUUGGUUCCGGUAGCGAUCGAGGGAAGUUAGUACCGAAGUCCGGGAUGGAAGAUGGCGAGAAAAGCUGUGUGUAUUUCUGCGGUGCCCGUACCGCAAACCGACACAGGUAGGUAGGAAGAAGAUUCUAAGGCCAACGGGAGAAGGGUUGUUAAGGAACUCGGCAAAUUGACCCCGUAACUUCGGGAGAAGGGGUGCUCCAGAGAUGGAGCCGCAGAGAAUCGGCCCAAGCAACUGUUUACCAAAAACACAGGUUUGUGCUAAAUCGAAAGAUGACGUAUACGAGCUGACGCCUGCCCGGUGCUGGAAGGUUAAGAGGAGAUGUGCAAGCAUUGAAUCGAAGCCCCAGUGAACGGCGGCCGUAACUAUAACGGUCCUAAGGUAGCGAAAUUCCUUGUCAGGUAAG